Molecule: long non-coding RNA, 501 nt
Filed under: Suricata suricatta (meerkat)
Lineage: Eukaryota; Metazoa; Chordata; Mammalia; Carnivora; Herpestidae
Description: lncRNA (ENSSSUG00005000506.1)
Source: RNAcentral
ACAGUGCUUGGUAUAUAGGAAGUACUCAAUAAAUAAUUUCUUUUAUUUUUAGAAUCAGCACAGUUUGAGUAACUGGGAAUGAUGAGGGAGGAGGAGGAGAUAGUUAUGUUUUCCAAAUUAUGGCUUUGUUACCGAGUGGAUAGUGGUGCCAUUCAUUGAAAUUUGGAAGCAAUGUUGAGAAGGGGGAGAAGAUGAUGAAGCCUGCAUGGAGCAGGACAAUGGCUCUCUGUAUCUGAUGUGAAGAAAUUGGACUUGGUUAUAGCAAAACACACUCUGGAAGAAAGUCAGGAAGAACUGGAGAACUGGAAAGGAUUUUGGAAAUCAUCUUAAUCUCAUGUUUCUGAAAGUGGGAAUAACAUACAAUGGAAGGGAGAUGGUGAUGGGCUUCAGAACGCGCUACCUCAAAAUGUGGCACCCUGACACGCUGAAUAUUUUUUGCUGAAGAAGUUUGAGAAAACGGCAAAAGCAGGAAGGUAGGUCACUAUUGGUCGUAAAACUCUC